GAUGAACGCUGGCGGCGUGCCUAAUACAUGCAAGUCGAGCGAACGGACGAGAAGCUUGCUUCUCUGAUGUUAGCGGCGGACGGGUGAGUAACACGUGGAUAACCUACCUAUAAGACUGGGAUAACUUCGGGAAACCGGAGCUAAUACCGGAUGAUAUUUUGAACCGCAUGGUUCAAAAGUGAAAGACGGUCUUGCUGUCACUUAUAGAUGGAUCCGCGCUGCAUUAGCUAGUUGGUAAGGUAACGGCUUACCAAGGCAACGAUGCAUAGCCGACCUGAGAGGGUGAUCGGCCACACUGGAACUGAGACACGGUCCAGACUCCUACGGGAGGCAGCGUAGGGAAUCUUCCGCAAUGGGCGAAAGCUUGACGGAGCAACGCCGCGUGAGUGAUGAAGGUCUUCGGAUCGUAAAACUCUGUUAUUAGGGAAGAACAUAUGUGUAAGUAACUGUGCACAUCUUGACGGUACCUAAUCAGAAAGCCACGGCUAACUACGUG
This 496-nucleotide ribosomal RNA is filed under the name uncultured bacterium. Its description in RNAcentral is "partial 16S ribosomal RNA". It matches the Rfam family "Bacterial small subunit ribosomal RNA", at positions 28 to 507 of the family's 1533-position model. The record is from RNAcentral.